This is a long non-coding RNA of Meriones unguiculatus (Mongolian gerbil), 349 nucleotides long. RefSeq lists it as uncharacterized. The transcript is spliced from 3 exons. The record is from RefSeq and is a predicted model, not a curated record. Lineage: Eukaryota; Metazoa; Chordata; Mammalia; Rodentia; Muridae.
GCUCCCCACGCCCGAUCGGCCGCCGCCAUCACUUCAGUGCCAGUGCGCUUGCGCGAACACGCCUCCUUCCAAUUCCUACGCAGAUUCAGGCCUCGGGAAGAGGACGGUCACGGGAAUUGCCUGCUUUAUGAUCACUCGACUCAGGCCACAGAGGAAGAGGACCCAGGCAGUCCUGAUGAGACUUAACAAGCUAUGGGCAGAUGGCAACAGAGGAAAACUCUCCCUUUCAGUAGACUAGGGGUUUCUAUGUAUGGCCCUGGCUGUCCUGGAACUCAGUUUGUAGACCGAACUGGCCUCAAAACCAGAGAUCUGGCUGCUGCUGCCUCCAGAGUAAAUUCAAAUAUCCCAA